This 400-nucleotide unclassified non-coding RNA is filed under the name uncultured fungus. Its description in RNAcentral is "sequence contains ITS1". The stretch from base 1 to 105 matches the Rfam family "5.8S ribosomal RNA", at positions 50 to 154 of the family's 154-position model. Lineage: Eukaryota; Fungi. The record is from RNAcentral.
GAAAUGCGAUACUUGGUGUGAAUUGCAGAAUCCCGUGAACCAUCGAGUCUUUGAACGCAUAUUGCGCUCUCUGGUAUUCCGGAGAGCAUGCUUGUUUGAGUAUCAGUAAACACCUCAACUCCCUUUUUCUUUUUUGGAAUCGGGGAGCUGGACUUGAGUGAUCCCAACACUUUUCUCACUGGAAAGUGGCGGGUCACUUGAAAUGCAGGUGCAGCUGGACUUUUCUCUGAGCUAUAAGCAUAUCUAUUUAGUCUGCCUAAAAACCAGAUUAUUACCUUUGCUGCAGCUAACAUAAAGGAGAAUUGUUCUUGUGCUGACUGAUGCAGGAUUCACAGAGACAGCUUUGCGGCUGACUUUGUAAACUCGAUCUCAAAUCAAGUAAGACUACCCGCUGAACUUA